RNAcentral lists this long non-coding RNA (14359 nucleotides) under Nicotiana tabacum (common tobacco). Its description in RNAcentral is "long non-coding RNA (NTAB_LNC009677)". The record is from RNAcentral. Lineage: Eukaryota; Viridiplantae; Streptophyta; Magnoliopsida; Solanales; Solanaceae.
AAUUGUGCAACUUAAACUCAUAUGUUCUCUCUUCGUCCUUCAAAUCCAGAGCAUGCAUGAACAUUAUCUUCAACUUCAUCAUCUUUAUUUGAUGUCCAGAGGUCAAACGCAGUGACCUCUAGACAUUAGGUUGGACUAGCGGUCCGUUGGCUUCAACGGUCUUCUUCCUCCAUCCUCGUGCCCAGGUAAAAGUCUCUGUUGUUUUCCCCUCUGUUCUUUUCUGAUUUCAUCGUGUUGCUAUCAUCAUCCAUCAUUCAUCACUUUCCACUAUCUAUUUUGAACCAAUCGGAACCCUAAGGCUUGAAGGACACUAUAAAUACGAUCUUAAAUGCUCUCACCUAACAGACACCAACAUACAUCAAUACACACUUAAUACUACUGAUCCAUACACUGAAAGAAUUAAUAGUUCAAGUCUUAAGUUCCAGCAGUUCUUUUCUAAUUUCUCUUUUCUUCUUUUUAUUUUCUGUUCGAGUGCAAUCUAAUGUGAGUUGAUCGUAGUAAGUUUGGAUACCUUAGACAACUGUUAGCAUCUGCUUGGUUGCUGCUCCACAAAAGGUCAGUGUGGACUGACCUUCUCUCUUUAGUUUUCCCUAAAAUUAGUUAUGUGACUCUGUGUUUAUGCCGUUUAUACUGACAAACAUCUACAGGGCAAGAUAAUGCGUGGUUUUUCAUUAUGUGUUGCUAUUUAUGUCAUUUUGUUUCUGUUCUAAGAAUGAUAAUGUUUCUUAGUAAUUAUAUUGCCUUAUAUUGUUAUUUGAUCUGUAAUAUUGGACCUUAACUCGCAUGGUUUAGCUAAUAUGAUUCAGCACUAUCCCAAUGAAUAGAUCAUGUUAAGUCUUCAUACAUUAAGACUUAUGUUAAUACUAUGUGUGUUCCAUCUCUGUUAAGUUAAAUGAUAGCUAUCACACUAACUAAACCGACUAGGUCAUGGUCUUAUGUUUUCUCUAAUAUUCUGUCAAACUUCACAUCUGCUGCACUAUGCCAUGUUGAUUCUCAUGUUUGUGAUAUUGUGUCACAUUGUUUUAAUUCAAUAAAGAGUGGUUCUUAAUUUAUGUUUUCUAUUUGAUCUGUCUACCUAAUGAUCUUUAUUGACAUUCUUGUUGCUAAAAUCAUGCUUGUUUCUGUACACUUAGUGACUCAUGUAAGUCUAUCACUAUGACUUGAAAUCAUGAACCUGAAUCUGCUCACUUGCUGUGUUUGAUUUGCCAUGUCCCUCUGCUACCUCAUGACUAUGAACUAUGUGGUAGUGGCUAUUCAAAACCUUUACUGUUGUGAUGGUUGAAUGACUCUUGCUUGUGCCCAUGUUCAUCGUGUUAAUUCUGCUAAUUCAGUGAUGUUUAUGAAGCCAUCCUAUACCCUUAGCUUGAGAAAUUGUGUGCUUGGAUCAUUGUGUUGCCUUCUAUGAUUUAUACUUGCAUUAGUAUGCAAUCUUGACCCUCCACAGUAUUAUGUUAUACUCAAAUUGUCACGACCCGAAAUUCAACUAGUCAAGAUGGCACCUAACCCCAACCCGCUAGGUAAGCCAAUUAACAACAAUCCGAUUCAAUGAGAGUUACUGAUAAAUGGAAUGAUAAUAUAACUGAAUUUCUAUACAAAGAAUUCCCAAGGCUGGUAGUACAAAUUAUGAUCUUCUAAGAUUUAGAAUUUACAAAGCUGGAAUGAAAUAAAUACAUCAUCUGUUUGAAAUAUACAUGAACAAAAUAAUAAUCCUAAAGCUACCAAGAAUAAUAGGCAGCUAGGAACGGAACGCAGGAUGAAAUGCAGGUACAUCUUCAAUGCCAGCUCCCACCUUAUACAGCAACAUCAACAUCCAAAAUCUGCAUGCAAGGUGCAAAAAUAUACUAUGAGUACAACUGACACCAUGUACUCAAUAAGUAACAAACCUAACCUUAGGUUGAAAGUAGUGACGAGCUUGGACAAAGGUCAGAGUCCAACACCAACAACCAGGAACAACUCAUAAUAAUAUAUCUAAAGCAGUACAAGUAAUAACUCAAAGAUAUAAUACUCAACUCGUUCAUAGUUCCGGAAAAUAGGCAUGCUUUUCAAGUAUAACAAUAAAACCCAAAUCUUUCACCGAAAUCACCAAAAUAUGAUUAAAUCUGAACACAACUGUGACUUUUUCCAAAAACUUUCAACAACAGGUAAGAUGUUUCAUUGUCAGAUGGCAUGAGGAAAGUACACCUCUAUACCUACAUGUCAAUGUGUAUAUUAAGUCAUGAAUGUCGGAAUGUUGUACCGCAUGAGGAAAUGCAUCUCAAUGCCUACAUGUCAUGUAUGUAUGUCACUGUAAUGCAACGCAGUGAUAAAACCAUAUGCACACUCAGUCCUCACAGUCACUCAGUCCUCAAAGGAAAAGGCAUAUAUGGUUUUCAACUUAAGGUAUAUACAAAUUUCAAAGGGUGAUUUCCUACUUUCCGAUCACAAACAAAUUACAUCUUUUCUCUUUCAAAGUAUAUACACAACCUUCUCAAAAUAGUGAAUUUUCAAAUAAGGUUUAGAAUAUUUUCAUAGAGUUUACUUAUCAACUUUAAACACUAACUAAGCAGAAUAUAGACUUUUCUUUCCCCAAACCUAACCUAAGUUUAAGGAGCCACCUCAGGUGAAUUUUAAGGGAUGCCCAGUGCCUUUCCUUUAGAACAACUAGAACCCUUACCCAAAUCACACUGGUUAGCAGACCAUUAGGAUAAUAAUAUCAUAGACUUAUAGGCACCCUAAUAUACCUUAAAAUAUUAGGUGGAGAUUUUUUUAUCAACUUCAAAAGAACCAUUAGUUGUAUUGUAUUUUGACUAUUGCAAAAUAAGGUGCAAUAACAUGGCGACUCUGCUGGAGAUUUUUGUUGGUUCUGACCUUAGCGGACUUAGGAUAGAAUUGAACCUGGGGGUGUCUUGUUAUAUUCUGCUUUGAUUAUAUUUGAUAUGCAAAUAUGUGUUUACUCGCUUUAUUCUACUUGUUUACACUUUACAACAUGUUUACCUAUUUAUUUAUAUUACUACCUUACUACAAUUAUCUGUUAUUGCUUUAUACAUAUUUCCUAUCAAGUCUUGGCCGUACACAAUCGCACACAAUGACACGCGAGGGUUGUUUUUACACCCAUCAGAACUUUAUUUCAAAACUCUCUAGUUUCAGAGAAUGACUUUGUCAGGCCAACUGAUAUAACGACUCGCAAUUAUUCUAUCCAACUCCAAAAUUAGGAAACACUCUACUCUUAGCAAACAUAGGUCAUUCUGCAUAAACCUUAGGUGGCUCGAUCCUUGGUAUUGACUCAUGACUAGGAAAUCCACCUUAAUAUCAACAACUCAUGCACCCAACAAUAUAUUUUUUUGUGGAACUACGAAUCAAUCCAGAUAAGACGCUAAGGAUCCAGAGCAAAAUUCUUACCAAAUCUUUUACCCUUUUAGAUGGAAAUCAACCGCAAUGUCCCAGAGAUUAACAUCGCCAUGGGUGCAUCUCACAAAUUGAAGCAGUUGUGGAGGAAAAUUCAACGAGAGCACGAGAACGAGAUCAGGACACACCUAGGAUCACUAACCGCCCCGAUGAACAUUUGAGCUGACAAGGUACUCACCAGGUUGCUGAUAGAGUUUUGGGACCCAACCAAGGCGGUAUUCAAAUUUUUCGAUUGUGAGUUGCGCCAACACUGGAGGAUAUUACUAGUUUCACGGAGUUAUCAUUCACCAGGCGGAAGCCAAUACUGCUAGUCGUCAUGCCGGACCAUAGGUUCUUCCAUGCACUAGGUCUGACGAGUAACAGGAAAUUGUGAAACAUCAAGGAUGGAUGGGUGAGUUUAGACCAUCUAUUUGAUAGAUUUGGACACCGGGAUAGCUAUGAGUGGCAUCUUGAGGAAUUCUAGUGUGAUCAAGCGGCAUGGGAGAGCUUUCGCCCCAUAACCUUUUCUCUAGCACUAUUGGGACUCCUGGUUUUCCCACAAAGGAAAGGGAGAACCAACAUUAACCUAUUGCCUUUGGUUUAGGCUACCUUUCGAGGAAAUCUGCAGGUCACCCUUGUUCCUAUGAUACUGACGGAAAUAUUUCGAGCACUGUCGGCAUGUUCAAGAGGAUAUGAUUUCUUCAGAGGUUGCUACUUUCUAGUACAUAUAUGGGCUACAGGGCAUUUCUUCCAGAGGGAGGUGACCAUUGACUACUUUAUCGGCAUUAGUAACAUGAUCCACAACCAUAAUGAAAGGACGAGGCAUUGGUCUACACCACGUGGCCAGGAGGAGUGGCAGGAACUUUUGACCCAUUUGAGUGGAGAAUUCAUCAAAUGGAAACUUUCUUGGUUGAAUGGUAGAGCAAUCAUGAGAAUCUCGGGGAAGUACUUCAUUGAGUUGCUAGGUCUGGAGGGGAUUCAGCUGUACACACCACUGAGGGUUCUUAGGCAGUUUAGUCUGAUUCAAGAUGUGUCUCUCUAUUCAAGGACAACUUUGUACAAGGAUGAUUACAACAGGUAUAUUUGAUCCUGAGGGUAAGGAAUCUCCAGGACGAGUGGAAUGACUUGAUCACAAUGGGAAUGUGGCAAAAUCCCUGGUGCAUGCUGUUGACGACCAAUUUUUUUUUCGCAAAUAUACCACUAGGCAGUAUUCCUAGUGGCUAAUAUAUAUAUAAAAUCCCAAAAUGGGUCUACAUCUUACAAUAAGUCCAAAAAAAUAUAAAAUAUUAAAGCUACUACUAGCUAAUACUCCGAAUAGGAAAGGUAACACAAAUGAACUAGAUAUUACAGAGUAGCAGGAUGUAAGCAUUCGUAUCGAAGUAGUGGUGUUGAAUUCAAAGGCCAAGGGAAAAAACCAAGUAGCACCUCCAAUGCUCUCACCAGGCACCAUGUUCUUCAUUCCAUAUGACAAAUUAAUGGACAAGGCUAAUGUUGGUUCCAAACAAAUAUACCACUUUGUUGAAGCUAUCCAGAACUGCACAGUACAUGUGUUGAUCCAUCUCGAACUUCUUGUAAAUUUGUAGAACAUGAUCUACUUGCUUAUCCAAAAUAGGUUGUAUACUUUGUUAUCAUCUUCAAGCUUUGUGUGAUAGCACACUAAUAUCACUGGAAAAUGUUCAUACAGUACACAUCAUGAUAGUGAAAAUAGCAGCAACAUUUGGUUAUUUCUGGUGUUGUCCUGUGUUUUUCUGCACUGUCUGCUUUGCUUAUCAGUUCUGACUGUUGAUAAAUUACCCCCACGAUGAUCAUGGAAACAUGCUAAUACCAGUUGGAAGCCCUGUAACAACAUCCAGAAACAACCAAAACAGAAACAUUUGGCAAGAUCAGUCAAUGCAUUCGUAGUAGUGAUCAUCAAUCGGGUUCUUUUCUCUUGGCAAUCCUAAUCCUAAGGUUAGGUACUUGUGAUUUGUCCAUGUUUAUUAAUAUUUUUCCUUCAACUGGUAGUUCAUGAAAUGAUUGAAAUCUGAGCGUACCUGCAAAAGAGAAAACUAGGUUAGCUAAGAAGUCAGCAACAAUGUUGCCUUCCCUUAGUACAUGCCGAAAGAGCACAUUGUAGGUGCUCUUUAUUUCCUUAAUCUUCCUCACUUCAAAUCCUAUGCACCAUGGAGUUUCCCAUUCCUCAUCAAUUAUCUUCCUCAUUACCAGUGAAUCAGUCUCCAUAAUGAGGGGAUGGAGCAGCCUUUCUACACAAUAUGCCAAUCCCUGUACAAUUACCUUUGCUUCUGCCACUAUAUUAGUAACCUCCCCUAUCUCACUUGCCUCUACAUACAAUAAAUCACCAACAUGAUCUCUCACAUAAAAUCCAUAUGAUCUUGGUCCAGGAUUACCCCUUGAUACACCAUCAGUGUUGCACUUGAACCAACCCUCAUAAGAAAGUUGCCAUGUUAUUGUUUUGGUCACCACAUAGGGCCUGUAACCUUCAAAGAAUUGGAUCAUAUAUGGCCAUAGAAGAGGAAUGCUUGAUAGCCAUGGAUACCUUUGUCUUGAUAGGUAGUGAAAUGUCUUGUUCACCUCAUGAAUCACCCUAUUGCAAGUGACUGCGCCCCAAUUAUUCAUAUUAUUUCUCCUCUUCCAUAGUUCCCAUGUGAUGAUUACUGGAGCAGCCUGAAAUACUGUCUUAAGUUUGGAAUAAAAUUUUGCAUUCCACCAAGAUCUUAUUACUUGGUGAACCUGCACCAUGCUUAUCACAAUACCUGCUACUUGAAGGAAUACCUUCCACACCUUUGCUGCAGUAGAACUUGCGAGGAAUAAGUGCUGAAAAGUUUCUUCUUGCGUUGGCACACAACACCAGCAUUUAGAGACUAUUACAUAACCCCUCCUCUUCCAAAGAUCAUUAGUAGGUAUCUUUCCUCUCCAUAAUCUAUAAAGAAAGAAAGAUAUUUUAAAAGGCAAGCCUUUAGUCCACAACAUCUUAUAUUCUGCAUUAGUAGGAGCUUUAUGCCUUAGUAUUUGUCAGACACUACUGACUGAAAAUCUGCCUGAAGAUGUUGGCUUCCACUUAGGUGUAUCCCAAUAUUCAUCAGUUUCAUAAAACUACACCUCAUGUGUUAUAUGAUCUGCUAUUUCUGGUGAAAAUAUUUGCUCAAGCAGUUGAACAUUCCAAAUAUUAUCAUCCCUCAACUCUGCCACUUCUUCUAGUUCAUCAUUUAUUAGAAAUUUUGGGGGUAUUAUAUUUUACAAAGCACCUAAUCCAGUCCAAUUUUUAUGCCAUACAUUAGUAGUACCUCUAUUCAACACCCAUUGUAUCUCAUGCUCCACUUCAUCUCUUGCUUUCUAUAUUUUUUUCCACACAUGUGAUCACCCUCUAAAUUGAACCAUAGUGGGUAUUUUCUUCUUACAAUAUUUGUUCCACAUGAAGUUUGCCCAUAAUGACUUUGAUAUUCUAAACUUUCACCAUAACCUCACAAAAAAAGCUUUAGAUACAUCAAAGAGUGAUCUAAAACCAAGUCCACCUUCUUCCUUAGGUAAGCAUAGAUUGAGCCAUUUGGUCUAGUGCCUGCUUCUUCCUUCCUCUUUAUUACUCCAGAAAAAUCUAGCAAAAGUCUUGUGCAAAUGUUUCAUUAUAUUAUUAGGAGGAUCAAGUACUGAAAGAAUAUGAGUAGGCAUACUUUGCAAUACACUAGUAAUGAGUGAUGCCUUGCCACCAUAGGACAAAAGUUUCUCUUUCUAGGACUGCAACUUUGCUUUUACCUUCUUGAUAACAUUAUUGUAGUAAGCCUUCCUCCUCCUUGUAUUGAAAAUAGGAUAGCCAAGAUAAGUAAGUGGAAAUUCACCUUUUUGAAAUGUUGUAAUUGUACCCACUGAAGAGCAUAGUGAUUCUGCUACAUUACCAUGCAUGUAAUAGGAGCUUUUGUACUUGUUUAUAAGCUGGCCAGAAGUUUGUUCAUACUUAGUAAGCACCUUAACAAUCUUCCCCAAAGUGUAAGGAUUAGUUGAAGCAAAUAUGAUUGUAUUAUCUGCGUAAGCCAAAUGAUUUAAAGGGUCUGUCCAUUUUGGCAUCCCAAAGCCUUUAAGCCUUUUAUCCUCAAAUAGUUUAUUCAAGGAUCUUGAUAGCACAUCGGCGAUAGAAUGAAUAAUGCUGGAGAUAGAGAAUUACCUUGCUUGACUCCUCUUGUGGAUUUAAAGAAGUCUGAAGCUUGAUCAUUAUUUUCAGUAAGUUUAUUGAAAAUAUUUUCUAAUUAAUAAAUACUUAUUUUUAUAUAAAUUAAGUAAUUAAUGGUGUUAAAUUAAUAAUUUAGUGUUAAUACAAAUAUAUCACUCUUACUAUAUUUGAAACUAUUAAAAUAACUUUUACAAUUAUUAUAUAUGUUUAUAAUUAAUUUGAUAAGGUUGUUCCUUAAUUUUGAUAAAAUAGCCUACUAUUUUUAAAAUAAUCCAAAAUUAAUGUCACAAAUAGAAAAUAGGAUAUGUAACACUUAGUUAGCUAAUUAUAGUAAUUAGUAAUGUAUUUUAUUUCUAUAAUAUUUUAUUGAAAUUAUUGAAAUUAAUUUAAAUUAAUUACAAAAGGGUUAAAGACUGAAAUGGCUACAUUUGCAAUUGUAUAAUUAAAUAAAAAUGGCUACCUUUUAAAUCAAUUUUAGCCUAAAACACAUGCGCAAUAUUGCCUAACCCGGUCCAAAAUUACUCCUUCCUAACCACCUUGGUGAUCCAGGACAAAUCUGGAGGACUAAUGGCAUCGUGCCACAUCCCCCGUCCCACUCACUCAUAGCGCAAACACAAUUGAUCUGGGCCGUCGAUCCAAAUCAUCGGUGGUCCAUGUUUAUUCAUAUUUUUCCUUUUAUUUUAAACCCCAUGCCAUAUAUUAUCUUAACCGUUGGAUCACACAGAUCCAACAGUCCUAUUUUUUUCUAAUAACCUUUUCUUUAAAACUUUAAGACCUGAAUUAUCAGGGUCGUUGAUCAAAUGAUCCAACAGACCAGAUCCCGUAUUUCAUAUUUAACCAAAGACGCCCACUAACCCUAAUCAUUUUAUCCGUGAGACCCUCCGCCCCAAACCUAAUCAUUUUACCCGUGAGACCCGCCACCCCAUUUCUCUGAGUUUUCUUUGAAACGCUUAGCCUCCAUCAAUCUCCAACCUUGCAUAAAUUUGUGAAAGGUCACCUAAAUCACCCCUUUUGUCCCCUAAGACCACGAAUCUUGCCUGAAUCCUUCCAUUUUUCAUCACUAAAUUCAAAAUCCCCAAUUCAAAAAUUCUAGACCUGAACGAUCAAACUUAAAAUCAUCUAAUUCUCAUAUGUCCCGUCAAAUAUGCGGCAUGCAUGGCCGCGUCUUCAGUUUUAUCAUCACGAUUCUUUGUCCAGAGGUCAAACAUGGUGACCUCUGGACAUUAGGGCUUGACCACUAGGUUGAGAACUUCAACGAUUAACCUUCUCUUUUCUCACGUAAAAAUUCUCAUUAUUUUUCCUCUAUUUCUUCUGAUUUCACUUCCUAUCGUCAUCUUCCACUCAUGAUUUAAAUCGGCUGAAGACUAAGUUAUUGAAUGACAGUAUAAAUAUGGUCUUCAAUGCUCUCACCUAACAUUACCAACAACACUUAAUACAAGACAAAAACAAACAAAUGCUUAAGAGAAUUAAAAGCUUAGAUUUCUCACUGAUUUUCUUUUCCUUCUCUGGUUCUGAGUUCAUAUACUGUCGGGGCUUGAGUUUGGCUUCUUAACGGCUAAAAAAAAAACUUUGCUUGGUUUGCUGCUCUGUAGAAGAUCAGUGUACCCUAACCCUCCCUUUUCUUUCUGUUAUGUGUGUUUAUUUAGUGAUUUUGAUGUAUUCUUUGCUGAUUUCUCUUCGUUCAUGAUGCAUGUUAGUAAUUUCUGGUUUUCCUGUGUAUUGUUUGUCAUUCUUGUUAAUUAAUUCUUAUCCUUAUAAUAACCCAUGAUUGCUUUAGUAUUUCUAAUUAAUCUGUGACUUAGUUGGAUAACAUUUGCUAUAAUGAAAUGAUAAAAUUCUGUUGAACUCUUGUUAUUAGCCAAAAGAAUUUUGAUGUUCUUCCAUGAUUGUUCUGUUAACCAUGCCAUCAUGCUAACUUGCCUAAACUGUGAUCUUUGACCUAUAUUAUAUCUUGCUAGGAACUUAUGUUUUCUACUUCUGCAUUACAAUAAUUAUGGGGUUAAUGAUGUUAUGCUACUUGUUGAUCCAUGCCAUACUUAACCUGUAUACUUUGAUAAUAUUUGAACCAUGUUUGUUGUGUACACUUAAGGAUCCAAUAUAAGUCUGUUAGUUUAGUCUGAACUCACUAGUUUAGUUGCCAGGCUACUUGCUUUUCAAACAUGUCCUGUAAUCUUGUGAUCCUUGAAAACAUCACUAUGUGAUAAGUUUGAAUGUCCUCUGUUUGUCCUUGUGUUUAUGUAUCUGCCUAGUUACACUUAUGAACUUUCUUAUCCGAAGGACUCAUGUCUAAGCCACUAUACGCUUAUUGUUUCAUAGAAGAAUAAGUUGAACCUUGCCAGUUUUAACAACUUAACAAUGAAGAAUCUGAGGAGAAAAGCUACUGUUGGGACUUGUAGGCUCAAACAAUUUCUUAAUACCUGCUUGUCCAGAUAAAAUGAAUGAUAUUCUAUAUUAUUUGAUGUCCUCAGUUUGUGUAGGUUUAGUUAUGAACUUGGAUGUUUGAUUAGGAAUUUAAUAAACUAGUAGUCCUACUACUAAGUCUGAAUUAUACCAAGAUUGACCUUCUUGCCCACCUGCAUACCUCUGUUGGUGUUGUUGUUCUUUAAGGAGGCCUGAACAAGGUUAUUAGUCCAUUUACUUAGUAGAGUGAGGACUUGACCAUAUGUGUAAACUUCUGAUAGUUCAGAAUACAGCCUAAAUAGUUGUUAAAGUAUUGUGAGCUCGAUUAAGGAUUCCUGUAAGUGUAAACCUACCAGUAUAACUAAUAAAAUCUGUAUGCAUGUCAUGACACAAAUACCUAACCAAUCGUGAUGGCGUCUAUCGUUGAACUAGGCAAGCCGACAUUCUCAAUAUGCUUUCAAUAUAUAACAGAAGUGAGCUAAAGUAAUUAAACUAACUGAAGGUUUACAUAAUAACGAGGUAAAAACCCAAAACACAAGUGCGGAAUGAUAUCCCGACAUCGGGGUGUCACUAAGUCAUGAGCAUCUAGCAACCAAUCUAGAAACAGAGUCUACUACAGUCUGUGCCAAAUGCCAAUACAAGAGAGAAAAGAUAAUAAGAAAGGAGAAACAAGGACUGUGGACGCCGGCAGCUACCUUGUAAGUCUCCGAUAAUCAGCUCGCGCACGAACUCAGCGACCGCCAGAACCGUACAUACCUGGAUCUGCACAUGAAGUGCAGGGUGUAGCAUGAGUACAACCAACUCAACAAGUAAUAAAAUUAAAUAAGGAAUUGAGAAGCAGUAAAAUACAGAUCAUUUCAAAAGUUUUCACUAAAGAGUGAACAUGCUUUCAAAUCCGGUGAUAUAAGUUAAAUCAGUCGACCUCAAGUAAAACAGAUAUAAAUCUUCCAGAAAUUACACAACAACAAUAGAUAACAACUAAGUACAAUAAUAAAUAAAAGCAAGUACAGCCUCUCAAGGCAACAAUCACUCAACUCACCUCAACAGCUCAUACUCUCAUCUCUCAGCCCUCAAUACACUCUCUCAAUAGGUACCUGCGCUCACUGGAGGUGUACAGACUCCGGAGGGGCUCCUUCAGUCCAAGCGCUAUAUUGCUGCGGUGCGCAGCCCGAUCUAAUAUUGUUGCGUCGUGCAACCCGAUCCAAUAAUAUAUAUAUAUAUAUAUAUAUAUAUAUAUAUAUAGCUCGAAGGCUUGUUGCGGCGUGCAACCCAAUCCAUAUACCUCCUAACUUUUAGCUUAGCACUCAGGCCCUAUCUGAGUCACUAACCUCUCCAGCCUCUGGAACUCACAGAAUAUCAUAAUAAUUAGCCCAAACAGAGAAUACAACAAGUAUCAACAAGACAACAAUUAGCAUUCAAUUCAACAAGUAUACGAUCACUGUGGGUCCCAACAAUGAUAUCAUAUGGCCUAAGCAUGGUUUCUAACAUGAAAGGCAGUCAAUUGCUCAAAGACAAGGAAAAACAAGUAGUAACAAUGGUUAUUCAACUUUACAGUCUCACGGGACGGACCACAAUCCCUCACGGUGCACGCUUACACGCCCAUGAUCUAGCAUGUGCGUCACCUCCAAAUAUUCACAUCAUACCAAUUCUCGGGGCUUCAUACCCUUAAAACCAGAUUUAAUACUGUAACUUACCUUAACCACGCAAGAAUCUUGCUCCGAAAUGCCUUUGCCUCUCGAAUCGGCCUCCAAAUGCCCUGAAUCUAGCCAUAACAGUACGAGAUAAUCAAUAUUGGCUAAAAGGAUCAAUUUCACAAGAAAACUACUAAAAUAUAGUCCAAAAUCCGAAAUCGGCUCAACCCGCCCCCCCGGGCCCACGUAUCGAAACCCAAUGAAUGUCACAAAACCCGAAAGCCCAUUCACUCACGAGUCUAACUGUACCAAAUUUAUCAAAAUCGAACCUCAAUUGCCUCUCCAAAACCCCAAAAUUCAUUCUCCAAUUCCCAAGCCCUAAUCUCCCAAAUCUCACCUCAAACACUUACCAGCUAGGUGUAAGAUCAGUGGGAAAAUACCAUUAUUGAAGAUAAAUAGGCACAAGGAACUUACCUCAGUGAUUACUCCGAUAUUUCUCUCAAAUCCCCAAAAUCCGAGCUAAAAAAUGAUAAAAAUGGUAAAAACUCUCGAAGUGUUCUAUUUAUAGGUUCGUCCCAUACUUCUUGCACCUGCGACUCCAUUUCCGCAUCUGCGGGCAAAGCCCCUCUUCUGCGAAAAAAUCCCUACACACUGCCUCCGCUCCUACAAUCAAGUGACUGCAUCUGCGCUCUUCGCGGGUGCGGGAACUACAUCGCACCUGCGGUCCAAACUCGCACCUGCACCCCUAAAUCUGCUUCUGCGACCAUUUGCAGGUGAGGGAAUUCCAUUGCAACUGCGUCCUCUGCCCAGAUCCUCCUUAGCCGCAUCUGCGGCUCCUCCUUUGCUUCUGCUGGCUCGCACCUGCGGUUCCCACUUUGCAGGUGUGGUUACACCAGUAGCAGCAGCUUCAGCUGCAAUUCUUCAACUCCCAUCAAGCCGUUAACCACCCGAAAUCACCUCGAGGCCUCCAGGACCUCACCCAAUCAUACCAACAAGUAAUAUAACCCCAUGCAAACUUAGUCGAACCUUCAAAUAACUCAAGACAAUAUCAAUACACCAAUUACACCCGGAUUCAAGCCUAAAGAACUUCUAAACUUUUAAAUUCCACAAACGACGCCGAAACCUAUCAAACCACGUCCGAUUGAUCUCAAAUUUUACACACAAGUCAAAAAUGAUACCACGAACCUAUUCCAAUUUCCGAAAAUCUAAUCCGACCCCGAUAUUAAAAUUUCCACUGCCGGCCAAAAUCGCCAAAAUUCCAACUUUUGCCAAUUCAUGUCUUAUUCCACUAGGGAUUUUCAAAUCACAUUCCGAACGCGCUUCUAAGUCCAAAAUCACCUAACAGAGCUAACAGAACCAUAAAAAUUCAAAUCCGAGGUCGUUUUUCCACAAGUCAAUAUCCGGUCGACUUUUCCAACUUAAGCUUCCAACUAAGAGACUAGGUGUCUCAAUUCACUUCAAAACCACUCUGAACCCGAACCAACCAACUCGGUAAGACAUUAUACAUCUGUAAAGCACAAAAAAACAAAAAUGGGGGAAACAAGGCUAUAACUCUCGAUACGACCGGCCGUGUCGUUACAAUGUUUGUCUUUCCUACCCUUAGGAUCAUUCAACUCAGCAUUUGUUCUACCUUGACAUAGUUACUGUUGGUUGCUCUGAAGAUUUUCCUAUUUUGCACUUAUGAUUAAUCUCUUUAAAUGCUCUAACACAUGUUGUAAAUGAAUGGCGAGCACUCCUGGAUACUGUUAGUAACUAUAGUGAUGACUUUUGUAUUCUGAGUUUUGAUUCUAAGGAUGAUGAUAUAAUUCCUUCAGUGUUUAUGUCUCUACAUUUUUGUUUUGGUUUCUGCAGCAUCUGAACUUCUUAUGUACUUGAACUAUUGUGUCUAUUCCUGGUCUCAUAUUGAUUGUUAAGUGAAUACUUCAUUUGUAUCUAAACCUUUGAGGAAGAGUGAGUGUGAGUGGCCAAGGGUAUUUGGGUUGGGAUCUAGUUUGUGGUUAAGGUGUCCUUCCUUGACACAAGACUGCUCGGGGUCCUUGAGACCCUUGUGAACUCUGAAGUGCUAGAGAUUCCAAGGGUGCUUUAUCCACGAAUAAGGUCUUAUACUAAGCUCUUGAUAAUUGACUCUCACUAAUCUCUUCAGGAUUAAUACAAAUAAAAAAUUUGUCUUCACUUUAAUUAUGUCUAGUUGUUACAAUCCUAUUCUGUUAGGCCUUGUGUUAGUUUUAUUUCACUCUUAAUCGUAUGUCACAGUCUUAUUCGAUUUGGGCCUCAUAUGGAUUUCACUAAUGGAAUUCAUUUUCAUCUUUGUAUGAUUGAACUUGGGCCUGCUGAGCCCAUCUGGAAUUCAAGCCUAUUAUCAGAUCUUGAGCCGCAACAUUUCUGUCACGUCUACUGUUCGUGCGUGUGACCUUGGGCCUGUUUGAGCAUUAGACCCAAAAUCAUCCAGAGUCCAGUUCUUUACUCUUAUUCCUUUUGAAUUCAUUGCGAUACUAUUUGAUAUGUGUAUAUAUGUUCUUGAAUGACUAACAUUUAUUAUUGUAUAACUUUAAAUACCUUUGAUUGUACAGGAAACAUAGACAAACUAAAAGACUGUAGGUAAAAAUAAAAAGGAAUGGCUGUCUCUUGUAUCAGUUAAAUGACUUCAACUUAUCUAAUUAUUUCUAUUAUCUAGUCUUCACUUUCAUACUAACCGUUUCUCAUGAAUCUUCGAAGUUCAAAAUAGAUUUGAAAAGGCAAAAACCCUCUUUCUUUAAAGGCUAGAAUUGGGCAAAUAAUCUCAAAGUCGAGUUUUCUACGAACC